GCCGGAGCUCAGAGGCCCUGGGGCCGCUCUGCUCUCCCGCCAUCGCAAGGGCGGCGCUGACCUGAGGCCUCCCCGCAAAGGUCCCCGAGGCGGCGGCGGCGGCGGGCUGUGAGAACCGCAGAAGAACGCUGGGCGCGCAGCGACCCGUCCACCCCCGCGAGGAGAGACUUCCACAGAGGCAGCGUUUCCACAGCCCAAAGCCACGUUUCUAGGGUGAUGCAGCCCCAGUAAGUUCCUGGCGGGGAAGCUCACGGCUGUCAAAAGAACUCUUCGCUCCAGCCGGCGCACGAAGGGGAGGAGGGCAGGAGGCUGCCGCCCGCACAGGUCAUCUGAUCACGUCGCCCGCCCUAGUCUGCUUUUGUGAAUCUCCACUUUGUUCAACCCCCACCCGCCGUCUCUCCCUCCCUGCGCCUUCCCUCUAACCUUAAAGACCCAGCUACCUCUACGCAAAUGGUAGCUACCUCUGCGCAGGUGGAAGUUGAGUUCGGUUCACGCGGGACCCUCUUCCCUGUGGCAAGCUGCUGAAGGAGACCUGCUGUUACUGCUUUAGCUGCUGUUCUGCUUAAUCUCAGACAGCUGGAAGAAGGUUGCUCCGGAUCUCGCCAUCUGGCCUGCGUUCAAUCAGCAGAAGCUUCCUGGAGGAGCAGGAGGAGGCACUGUGCUCGCAUCACAUACCAGUGGCCAGAAGUUGGCUUCAGGGAAGCUCAGGAAAUAGGAUGCGAGAAGCCAUGAGACCUCCCCAAACUCUGCAGUAACAGAGUCAACAAGACAAUGGCUUAAAGAUGGAGAGACCAGUUGAUCGGUCACACAAGCUGUUCCACGAUAAUUCUUGUGUCAGAAGGGGAGGCUGACUACCAGGACCACUGGCCCCACUUCCAGCCCCUCCAUUCUGAGUACACUUCAGAGGGCUCUGGCAGGGUGAGGGGGUCUUGGUGGUGCCACAGAGAGUAAAGGUCUAGCACACCCAUUGUGGAGAUAUUUC
Molecule: long non-coding RNA, 982 nt
Filed under: Homo sapiens (human)
Lineage: Eukaryota; Metazoa; Chordata; Mammalia; Primates; Hominidae
Description: non-protein coding lnc-MGAT1-4:13
Source: RNAcentral